CUGAAACUCACUUUGUAGACCAGGCUGGCCUCAAACCCACAGAGAUCUACCUGCCUCUGCCUCCUGAGUGCUGGGAU
RNAcentral lists this microRNA precursor (77 nucleotides) under Cricetulus griseus (Chinese hamster). Its description in RNAcentral is "miRNA (ENSCGRG00001004661.1)". The record is from RNAcentral. Lineage: Eukaryota; Metazoa; Chordata; Mammalia; Rodentia; Cricetidae.